Molecule: long non-coding RNA, 1028 nt
Organism: Peromyscus eremicus (cactus mouse)
Lineage: Eukaryota; Metazoa; Chordata; Mammalia; Rodentia; Cricetidae
Exons: 2
Source: RefSeq, a predicted model, not a curated record
CCUUAAGAGCCCACAACUGUAAAUGUAUAUUAGGGGAGAUUUAAAACUAUACGGACACCUUUUGUUCAGCUGCCUCUGGGUCUCUUUGACCCCUCCAUACUCUUCUUCAGGAAGAGCUUGCUUACAAGGUGUGCCCAGAAAUUCUCAUUCCCACAGACACUGGCCAGGAUGGUGGAAUCUGUUUUGAGAGGGCAGCCAUCCUCAUGUGACAUCACAGAGCUGCCCCUGGGGUUGGGGAGAUGAUGGCUCCAUCUGUAGAAUGCCUGCUGCCCAAGCAUGGAGCUCUGAGUUUGAUCCUUCACACCUAUGUGAAAGUCAGGCCACUUGGCACAUCUGUAACCCCAUGUGCUGAGGCUAGGGGACAGAGACCGGUGGGUCCCUGAAGCCCUUUGAACAUCCACCCUAGCUGAAUUGAUCAGCUCCAGGCUCAGUGAGAGACUUUAUCCCAUGCAACAUGUAGAAAAUAGCAUCACUUGGUUACUUCAUGCGAGUUGUUGUUGCCUCAUCUUCCUGGGAAUCCAGUAAAGACUCGAGCACAUGCCAUCUGGCUCAUGAAAAGGUCCCGUUAGCGUGGUUCUGAUCGCUUAUUUACUUGAAGCUACUCAGGCUACACCCAGACAUGGGUUUGUUGAAGCCACAUGCUAACGAGGCAUUGGCCAGCAGGGUGUGUCCAAAGCAAAAGAGGCGGGUGGAAGCCAAGUGGCCUGGAUGCUGCUGCCUCGUGAAGAACAGCUGACAGGCUGUGUGCAUUGCAGAAGGAAGCCCGGGGAGAGACAGCAGACUCUGUGUACUUCAGAUUCGACAUCUAGAGAAUGGGCGUGCCUCCUCUGAGGGCCCUCCAGGCUGCUGAGGAGGACGUGACCCACUCAGAGUACAGUGAGCCCCUGUCACGCAGAGAUCCAGGUUAGAAGAUCCCCUGGUCUUCUGGUUACCCUGCUCAUCACACUGGAUUCAGGACUUCUGGCUUCACCUUUGGAAAAUCACCCAAAAUAUGGGGGGUUAUAAUAAAAGCUCUCCAAACAGUCAAA